RNAcentral lists this transfer RNA (72 nucleotides) under Camelus ferus (Wild Bactrian camel). It matches the Rfam family "tRNA". From Rfam's summary of the family: Transfer RNA (tRNA) molecules are approximately 80 nucleotides in length. Their secondary structure includes four short double-helical elements and three loops (D, anti-codon, and T loops). The record is from Rfam by way of RNAcentral. Lineage: Eukaryota; Metazoa; Chordata; Mammalia; Artiodactyla; Camelidae.
GUGGAUAUAGCUCAGUAGUAGGGCACAUGCUUAGUAUGCUUGAAGUCCUGGGUUCAAUCCUCAGUACCUUCA